UUGAAUUUCAUGCCCGUGUAA
RNAcentral lists this non-coding RNA (21 nucleotides) under Caenorhabditis elegans. Lineage: Eukaryota; Metazoa; Nematoda; Chromadorea; Rhabditida; Rhabditidae. The record is from RNAcentral.